GACGAACGCUGGCGGCGUGCUUAACACAUGCAAGUCGAACGGAAAGGCCCUGCUUUUGUGGGGUGCUCGAGUGGCGAACGGGUGAGUAACACGUGAGUAGCCUGCCCUUGACUUUGGGAUAACUUCAGGAAACUGGGGCUAAUACCGGAUAGGAGCUCCUGCUGCAUGGUGGGGGGUGGAAAGUUUCGGCGGGUGGGGAUGGACUCGCGGCUUAUCAGCUUGUUGGUGGGGUAGUGGCUUACCAAGGCUUUGACGGGUAGCCGGCCUGAGAGGGUGACCGGCCACAUUGGGACUGAGAUACGGCCCAGACUCCUACGGGAGGCAGCAGUGGGGAAUAUUGCACAAUGGGCGGAAGCCUGAUGCAGCAACGCCGCGUGCGGGAUGACGGCCUUCGGGUUGUAAACCGCUUUCGCCUGUGACGAAGCGUGAGUGACGGUAAUGGGUAAAGAAGCACCGGCUAACUACGUG
RNAcentral lists this ribosomal RNA (468 nucleotides) under uncultured bacterium. RNAcentral describes it as "partial 16S ribosomal RNA". It matches the Rfam family "Bacterial small subunit ribosomal RNA", at positions 28 to 507 of the family's 1533-position model. The record is from RNAcentral.